AGUUGGUAAGGUAACGGCUUACCAAGGCGACGAUACGUAGCCGACCUGAGAGGGUGAUCGGCCACACUGGAACUGAGACACGGUCCAGACUCCUACGGGAGGCAGCAGUAGGGAAUCUUCCGCAAUGGGCGAAAGCCUGACGGAGCAACGCCGCGUGAGUGAUGAAGGUCUUCGGAUCGUAAAACUCUGUUGUUAGGGAAGAACAAAUUUGUUAGUAACUGAACAAGUCUUGACGGUACCUAACCAGAAAGCCACGGCUAACUACGUGCCAGCAGCCGCGGUAAUACGUAGGUGGCAAGCGUUAUCCGGAAUUAUUGGGCGUAAAGCGCGCGUAGGCGGUUUCUUAAGUCUGAUGUGAAAGCCCACGGCUCAACCGUGGAGGGUCAUUGGAAACUGGGAAACUUGAGUGCAGAAGAGGAGAGUGGAAUUCCAUGUGUAGCGGUGAAAUGCGCAGAGAUAUGGAGGAACACCAGUGGCGAAGGCGGCUCUCUGGUCUGUAACUGACGCUGAUGUGCGAAAGCGUGGGGAUCAAACAGGAUUAGAUACCCUGGUAGUCCACGCCGUAAACGAUGAGUGCUAAGUGUUAGGGGGUUUCCGCCCCUUAGUGCUGCAGCUAACGCAUUAAGCACUCCGC
This 634-nucleotide ribosomal RNA is filed under the name uncultured Bacillota bacterium. Its description in RNAcentral is "bacterial SSU rRNA". It matches the Rfam family "Bacterial small subunit ribosomal RNA", at positions 247 to 872 of the family's 1533-position model. The record is from RNAcentral. Lineage: Bacteria; Bacillati; Bacillota.